AAGUAAAACCCUUAACCAAAAAGAUAGGGCUAUAGUUUUUAAUAAAAUCUUCUUUAAAAUAUGAAACCAUGUCAACAAAAAGAACUGAAACAUCUUAGUAUACCUAAAAAUAAGCUAGUUAGUAUUGGCGAAAGAAAACUAGCAUUAAAUAAAUUAACUCUGAGUUAUACAGAAAAACUAACUAAGCACCUAUAAAGAAAGUACUGUGAAGGAAAUCCCACUAUGGUUAAGAUAAUCUAUGAUAACCAUAUACCUUUUGUAUAAUGGACUUACUAGAAAAAGAAUUUAUAAAUUUGUAGAUGUCUAACAUAAACAUAAUAAAUUUUACCCGAAACCUGGCGAUCUAAAUGUGAACAAGCUUAGGCUUAACCAGUGAUUGUAGAAGAACUCUUGGAUGAUUUGCAUUUAGCAGUGAAAAGCUAAACGAGCCUGGAUAUAGCUGGUUCUUUACGAAAUAUAUAUAAGUAUAGCAAUUUUUAUAAAUUGACAGCCAAGAAACCCAAAGGUUCCUAGGCUAAAAGAAAAUAAUCUUAAUCAAAAGGAAUUGUUUUAAAUCUUUGAAUCUAAAAAAUGAGACUCUUACUAACCAUGAGAAGAUAGGCUUAGAAACUGCCAUACUCCUAAAAGUACGUAAUAGUUCACCCAAUGAAAGAGUUCUCACUAAAAUUUAUAGAUCUUAUAACAUUACCUUUGAAAAAUUGGUAGUAAAGUAUUUCAAAUAUAUUAGGAAACUAUUGAAAGAAAAAAUGUAAGUAUGAAUAAAUUAUAAUUUUCUCCGAGAUUUCUUAUUUUAAUAAUGAAUAAGGUUAAACAGACUCUCAAAAACAAGGAGUAUAAGGAACAAAUUACAAGAAAAACCCUUAAUAUUACUGUAUUUAACUAACUCAAGUGGAGACAAUAAAAUAGCACAAUUCUCGCAAAGUAACUCGGCAAAAUGAAUAUCGACUGUUUACCAAAAACAUAGCCCCCGUAGCUAUCGGAGGUGUGACCUGCCCAAUGAUUUUAAACUUAGAAUAACCUUCUAAUAAAAAAUUUAAAGGACGCGGUAUCUUGACCGUGAUAAUGUAGCAUAAUCACUCGCCAUUUAAUUGAUGGAUUGUAUGAAUGGUUCGACGAAUAUUCCACUGUCUUUGCAAGAAACCUCUUUAAAUUGAAAUAACAGUUAAGAUGCUGUUUAAGUUUAUAAGACGAAAAGACCCUAUAGAGCUUAACCAUAAUCUCCUUCAACAUAAAAAAGUAUUAAAUACCAGGGAGAUUGGUGGUUUGGUUGGGGCGACCGCCUUUUAUAUAAAACAAAGGCAAGCAAAAUUAAUCCUAAAUUUAUUGUAAAGACCACAAUCUUAACAAUUACUAACGUAGGCGAUAAUGACCCGUUGCAUAGUUAUAACACAAGCAACGAUCAAUGAAUAAAAGCUACCUUAGGGAUAACAGGGUAAUCUUCUCCUAGAGAUCUUAUCGAAGAGAUGGUUUGCCACCUCUAUGUUGAAUUAAGGUAUCCUCUUAAUGCAGAAGUUAAGAAAGGUAGGUCUGUUCGACCUUUAAAACCUUACAUGA
This 1554-nucleotide ribosomal RNA is filed under the name Rathkea octopunctata. RNAcentral describes it as "partial 16S ribosomal RNA". The stretch from base 201 to 1554 matches the Rfam family "Bacterial large subunit ribosomal RNA", at positions 1 to 2603 of the family's 2925-position model. Lineage: Eukaryota; Metazoa; Cnidaria; Hydrozoa; Anthoathecata; Rathkeidae. The record is from RNAcentral.